CGCAGCCGCGGUAAUUCCAGCUCCAAUAGCGUAUAUUAAAGUUGUUGCAGUUAAAAAGCUCGUAGUUGAAUUUCGGGACUAACAGAUUGGUCGCGCCUUUGGUGUAUACUGGUCUAGUUGGUUUCUCCCUUCUGACGAACCACGAUGUCAUUAAUUUGGUGUCGUGGGAAAUCAGGACUGUUACUUUGAAAAAAUUAGAGUGUUUAAAGCAAGCGCUAGCUUGAAUACAUUAGCAUGGAAUAAUGAAAUAGGACGUUUGACCCUAUUUUGUUGGUUUCUAGGAUCGAUGUAAUGAUUAAUAGGGAUAGUUGGGGGCAUUAGUAUUCAAUUGUCAGAGGUGAAAUUCUUGGAUUUAUUGAAGACUAACUACUGCGAAAGCAUUUGCCAAGGAUGUUUUCAU
RNAcentral lists this ribosomal RNA (400 nucleotides) under uncultured Glomeromycotina. RNAcentral describes it as "SSU rRNA". It matches the Rfam family "Eukaryotic small subunit ribosomal RNA", at positions 569 to 973 of the family's 1831-position model. The record is from RNAcentral. Lineage: Eukaryota; Fungi; Glomeromycota.